This 360-nucleotide long non-coding RNA is filed under the name Chinchilla lanigera (long-tailed chinchilla). RNAcentral's name for it is "lncRNA (ENSCLAG00000026307.1)". The record is from RNAcentral. Lineage: Eukaryota; Metazoa; Chordata; Mammalia; Rodentia; Chinchillidae.
GCAGCCUUCUCUUCCUUCUCCAGAUCUUGUUGUAGCUGGGUAAUGAUGUCUGAAGCUGCUGACGUUCUUUGGAACCCCAGGAGGCCAAAUGGAGAUCAGCAUCAUCAAUCUUUGUAAACAAGCAUUGGUGCAAGUGGAAGACAGGAAAUGUCCAAGUUAAGAAGCCAGGCUUGGCUGGCUCCAGAGUAUCUGAAGACGUCACACAAAUCAUUUAUCAUACUCUGCUUGAUCUGACUACAGAAGUGUGUUUCAGCAAAUACUUAAAGCAUGGAGGGGCUAUUGCUCAGUUCAAGCCCUGAUCUGUAGUCUGCUGGCUGUUCUGAGAUCAAUGAGUACACACAAUAUUAAAUUACAACCCCU